RNAcentral lists this ribosomal RNA (453 nucleotides) under uncultured bacterium. RNAcentral describes it as "bacterial SSU rRNA". It matches the Rfam family "Bacterial small subunit ribosomal RNA", at positions 8 to 507 of the family's 1533-position model. The record is from RNAcentral.
AGAGUUUGAUCAUGGCUCAGAACGAACGCUGGCGGCAUGCCUAACACAUGCAAGUCGAACGAAGCCUUCGGGCUUAGUGGCGCACGGGUGCGUAACGCGUGGGAAUCUGCCCCUCGGUUCGGAAUAACAGUUAGAAAUGACUGCUAAUACCGGAUGAUGACGAAAGUCCAAAGAUUUAUCGCCGAGGGAUGAGCCCGCGUAGGAUUAGCUUGUUGGUGGGGUAAUGGCCCACCAAGGCGACGAUCCUUAGCUGGUCUGAGAGGAUGAUCAGCCACACUGGGACUGAGACACGGCCCAGACUCCUACGGGAGGCAGCAGUGGGGAAUAUUGGACAAUGGGCGAAAGCCUGAUCCAGCAAUGCCGCGUGAGUGAUGAAGGCCUUAGGGUUGUAAAGCUCUUUUACCAGGGAUGAUAAUGACAGUACCUGGAGAAUAAGCUCCGGCUAACUCCGUG